GACGAACGCUGGCGGCGUGCUUAACACAUGCAAGUCGAACGGAAAGGCCCUGCUUGCAGGGUACUCGAGUGGCGAACGGGUGAGUAACACGUGGGUGAUCUGCCCUGCACUUCGGGAUAAGCCUGGGAAACGGGGUCUAAUACCGGAUAGGAGCCAUUUUUAGUGUGAUGGUUGGAAAGUUUUUUCGGUGUAGGAUGAGCUCGCGGCCUAUCAGCUUGUUGGUGGGGUAAUGGCCUACCAAGGCGGCGACGGGUAGCCGGCCUGAGAGGGUGGACGGCCACAUUGGGGCUGGGGAUCGGCCCAGACUCCUACGGGAGGCAACAGUGGGGGAUAUUGCACAAUGGGCGCAAGCCUGAUGCAGCGACGCCGCGUGGGGGAUGACGGCCUUCGGGUUGUAAACUCCUUUCGCUAGGUACGAAGCUUUUUGUGACGGUACCUAGAUAAGAAGCACCGGCUAACUACGUG
RNAcentral lists this ribosomal RNA (465 nucleotides) under uncultured bacterium. RNAcentral's name for it is "partial 16S ribosomal RNA". It matches the Rfam family "Bacterial small subunit ribosomal RNA", at positions 28 to 507 of the family's 1533-position model. The record is from RNAcentral.